CACAUUAUGUGUUUUUAUUUCAGUCGAUGGGGAGACGAGGGGGCGGGUGUUGGAGGGGUUGAGGUUACAGAUGAAACAGUGAUCACACGUUGAGAGUUGAUACUUGUUGAAAGUGAGUGAUGGGUGUAUGGGGGUAAUAUUCUUCUUAUAGGAUGGUCAUUUGACUCACACAAGUUAAUGGAUGCAAAGAGCUCAGCAUAUACGUGCUCAGUAAACAGUAGCUAUUAUCCCCACUUAAUACAAGAAGAUGUGAGGCUCAGAGAAGUUAAGCCACUUGCCUGAGGUCACAGAUCUAGGAGGCAUAGAGUGAGGUCUCUAAACCACACCCAUCGCACCCAAAGCAGGGCUCUUGGCCGCUCUCCUCUGUGGCUCUCUUUCUUCUCUUCUUCAGGUUUCCAUGGCUUCCCACUGCCUGGCUCCCUUCUUCCCUUUCAAAGUUACAUUUGCUGAAUCUCUCUCCACGAAGAGUCACAAGCCUGCUUAUGAAAUCACAUUUCUCAAUGGUUCAUUCAACUCACAUUUGAGUGACUGACAUUGAACAGGAUGCUGGGGCAGCAGAGAUGAAGGCCCGGUCCUCAAGGAGCCAGCCCAGUGCUGCAGAAAGAGUUAAUAGGCAGAGCUAUCGAGUGCCUACCAUGUGCCAGGCCCUCUUGCAGAAGUGCGGGGCAGAGCACACAUGCACACACAACCUGUCAAGUCCCUUGCGCUCCAAAUGAGGAGCCUGAGGCAGAGGUGAACUAAGGAAAGCAGGACAGGGGUAGCGGCAGGAAAGACAAUAACUGCAAUCAAUGUUGGUAGGUGCUGUCCCCGUGUUAGAAGCCAGAACAGGGUGCUCCAGAAACCCAAGAAGGGACACCUACAGUCACUAACGCAGGCGGACCUGGUGAAGAGGGUGUGCAGCCCAUGGGGAGUACACAUGGGUGGUGUGGCUGGAACCAAGUGUGUGCACGAGAAACGGUAGCACCUCAUCAGUCAGAAUAGCCAUCAUUAAAAUAUCUACAAAUAACAAAUGCUGGAGAGGGUGUGGAGAAAAGGGAAGCCUCCUACACUGUUGGUGGGAAUGUAAGUUGGUGCAGCCAUUAUGGAAAACAGUACGGAGGUUCCUCAGAAAACUAAAUAUGGAACUACCACAUGAUCCAGCAAUCCCACUCCUGGGCAUGUAUCCUGACAAAACUAUCAUUCAAAAAGAUACAUGUACCCCUAUGUUCAUUGCAGAACUAUUCACAAUAGCCAAGACAUAGAAACAACUUAAAUGUCCAUUGACAGAUGAAUGGAUUAAGAAGAUGUGGUACAUGUAUGAAAUGGAAUACUACUCAGCUAUAAAAAAGAAUGAAAUAAUGCCAUUUUCAGUAACAUGGCUGAAACUAGGGAUUCUCAUAUUAAGUGAGGUAAGUCAGAAAAAGACAAAUACCAUAAAAUAUCACUUAUAUGAGGAAUUUAAAAUAUGGCACAAAUGAACUGAUUCACAAAACAGAAACAGACCCACAGACUUGGAGAACAGAGUUAAUGGAAAAGAAUAUUUUAAAAAAUGUAUGUAUAUGACAACUGAAUCACUUUGCUGUACAGCAGAAACCAACACAUUAUAAAUCAACAAUAAUUCAAUUAAAAAAAAAUUUUUUUAAUGGCGAAACCUGUAGCCAGGCCACAGAAAACCUUCUCUGUCUAAGGUGUCUGGCCCCUGUGUUUCCUAAAUUUGUCCCGUGAGAAUCAGCCCCACACGCUUGUUAAAAGCGGCUGUUCAAGUUCUAUACGAGGCCCACUGCAUCAGGCUUCAGAGGAGAGGCUCAGGUAGCUCUUGCGAUCAGGCAAAUUUGGAAUCAGCCUGGAGGUGAUGUGGGAGCUAAUUCUAGACAGCUCCUAACGACACGGACCCUCGUCUCUCCCUCGGCCCAAGUCUGCAAGCUUGAAUGUCCCUCAGUAUCUGCAGGGUCAUAGGGAUUGAUGUGCUGCCCUGACCUGACCUGCAGACUCCUGGACCUCACAACCAUAAGACUGUGUGUGGCCUGUAUCACCAGCAGCAUCGCUGCAAAUCAGGGUAUUCCCACAGGCAGAAAUCAAACAGCAGGCAUAGGAGCAAUGGAAUAUAUUUGGUUUCUUGUUCUCACUCUAUGUUUUUCUUUUUAAUUACUUUAUGAGGGCUCGUGCUUGCAAGGUGCACCAGCUAUAGACUGACUGAAUAUUGUGAUCAUAAAAGGGGUAGAAAGGAGAGAGGCUGAAUCUGGGAAGAGGGGUUGGAGUGAUGAAUAGAAAUCUUUAUGGGUCAGAAAAUUAUGUUUGUAGCCUUUUGGCAACCUGUUCCAGAACAUGCCUUGAUGAAGAGACAAUAUCUCCUCCUUCUAGCAUUCCCGAGGAGUGCUGGCAAAAGCUUCUUCGGACAGAGUGGUGAGUGAUUUGACAAUACAGAUUCUCUACGUGCUGUGCGUAAGUGGGCUAGGGAUUAGGUUUCCUAACACCAAGUUAGGGUUGCUAAAGCUCCCAUGAUGGAAAAAUGCUCUCGUGUUAAGUAUCUUGGCUUCAGACGGUUCAGAAAGGAUUAGUGAGACAUUCUAUUGCAACUCAUAGUUGAUACAAAAAAGAGGGUGGGUGGAGGAGGAGAGAAGAGAGAAAAGAGAGACAAUGCCAAAAACCAAAAACUCAUUUUAGCUCUUCUAUUAAAGCCAGAUGUAUUUUAGGGCCCGUUUCUAGGCAACUGCAUAAUGGUAAUAUUCUUGAAUCUUUUUUAAAGACUCACAACUGUCAGAGUCAGUAAAGGUCAGAAGGUAAUUAUAAAGUAAUAAGGAUGACAUACGAGAGGCAGAAUCACUCCAGCAUCGAUUGGGAAGCAGUGACAUUUUAUAGGUUGCGUUCAUUUUCAGAAACUCCAAGAUCUUCCUUUGGGCACUCAGACAUGCCCCUCUGGCAAGACCACUGGCCAGUCAAACUUGAACCUGACCCUGGCAUUUAGACGGUCCAUCCCCUCAUCUGGCCUCUCAAAUCAUUCACGGGGACGGAUGGAGCCCCCAGGGUGCACAAGGCUCCCCCAGUUGUAACAAACAUCUAAGACAAUGUAGAACCAAUUAAGGCCUGUCUAAGUGGGAACUGCCUUAGAGAGCAGUGCAGGAGUCUCCCCGCACAGAUAAGGAAACUGAACCCAGAGGCCAGAGGAGAAAAGGAGAGUGAAGGAAACUAAGAUCUGUGAAAUACACAGGCUCUCUGAACUCGGAGGCCCUCAUUUAGCUUUGACUUUGUUCUUAGUUGUGAGUGUGACCUUGGGACAAACCAGGAAAUUAACAUUCGUAAUAUUCCUCAAACACUUUGCUAGCCUCUUUAUAUAUGUCAGCAUUGGAUUUUCACAAUAACUGAUUGGGUUUAUAGGUAUCAUUCCUAUUUUUAUGGAGG
This 3378-nucleotide long non-coding RNA is filed under the name Sus scrofa (pig). RNAcentral's name for it is "lncRNA (ENSSSCG00005028251.1)". The record is from RNAcentral. Lineage: Eukaryota; Metazoa; Chordata; Mammalia; Artiodactyla; Suidae.